AUACCUUUCUCGGCCUUUUGGCUAAGAUCAAGUGUAGUAUCUGUUCUUAUCAGUUUAAUAUCUGAUACGUGGAUCAAUGGUUCACACGAUAUUAAAUUAAUUUUUUUGGGAGGAAGGUCUACCACGGUAGCUUGCUGCUGGGAUCUUUGCGUGUCGUCCGAGCGUUGCACUAUUGCUUGGGCAGGCGCACUCCAC
Small nuclear RNA from Pyrus x bretschneideri (Chinese white pear), 195 nucleotides. RefSeq annotates it as U2 spliceosomal RNA. The record is from RefSeq and is a predicted model, not a curated record. NCBI's taxonomy places the organism in Eukaryota, Viridiplantae, Streptophyta, Magnoliopsida, Rosales, Rosaceae. The transcript has a single exon.